AAUAGAUACCCAGGUAGUCCACGCCGUAAACAAUGAGUGCUAAGUGUUAGGGGGGUUUCCGCCCCUUAGUGCUGCAGCUAACGCAUUAAGCACUCCGCCUGGGGAGUACGGUCGCAAGACUGAAACUCAAAGGAAUUGACGGGGGCCCGCACAAGCGGUGGAGCAUGUGGUUUAAUUCGAAGCAACGCGAAGAACCUUACCAGGUCUUGACAUCCCGCUGACCGCUAUGGAGACAUAGCUUUCCCUUCGGGGACAGCGGUGACAGGUGGUGCAUGGUUGUCGUCAGCUCGUGUCGUGAGAUGUUGGGUUAAGUCCCGCAACGAGCGCAACCCUUGUCCUUAGUUGCCAUCAUUCAGUUGGGCACUCUAAGGAGACUGCCGGCUAAAAGUCGGAGGAAGGUGGGGAUGACGUCAAAUCAUCAUGCCCCUUAUGACCUGGGCUACACACGUGCUACAAUGGACGGUACAAACGGUUGCGAAGUCGCGAGAUGGAGCUAAUCCGAGAAAACCGUUCUCAGUUCGGAUUGCAGGCUG
This 533-nucleotide ribosomal RNA is filed under the name uncultured bacterium. RNAcentral describes it as "bacterial SSU rRNA". It matches the Rfam family "Bacterial small subunit ribosomal RNA", at positions 777 to 1307 of the family's 1533-position model. The record is from RNAcentral.